AUACGGAGGAUCCGAGCGUUAUCCGGAUUUAUUGGGUUUAAAGGGUGCGCAGGCGGGGGAUUAAGUCGGCGGUGAAAUUUUGCAGCUCAAAUGUAAAAGUGCCUUCGAAACUGGGUUUCUUUGGUGGAGAAGAAGUAGGAGGAAUUUGUGGUGUAGCGGGGAAAUGCAUAGAUAUCACGAGGAACUCCGAUUGCGCAGGCAGCUUACUAAACUACUACUGACGCUCAGGCACGAAGGCGUGGGGAUCAAACAGGAUUAGAUACCCUGGUAGUCCACGCAGUAAACGAUGAUUACUAGCUGUUUGCGAUACAAUGUAAGCGGCUGAGCGAAAGCGUUAAGUAAUCCACCUGGGGAGUACGUUCGCAAGAAUGAAACUCAAAUGAAUUGGCGGGG
Molecule: ribosomal RNA, 393 nt
Filed under: uncultured bacterium
Lineage: Bacteria
Description: partial 16S ribosomal RNA
Rfam family: Bacterial small subunit ribosomal RNA
Source: RNAcentral